Molecule: long non-coding RNA, 310 nt
Organism: Tupaia belangeri chinensis (Chinese tree shrew)
Lineage: Eukaryota; Metazoa; Chordata; Mammalia; Scandentia; Tupaiidae
Exons: 3
Source: RefSeq, a predicted model, not a curated record
GUUGGGCUGCCCGGAGUUGGCAGGAGGAGCAGACAGAAAUUGAGGUGUUCAGUUUGGCUGGAAAAAAAAAAUAAAAAAAGGUUCUACCUAUCUGAAUUUGUGACCAAGGCCCAGAGUUCCUAGAAACUCCCGGAGAUUCGAGGCGACUCACUUGGUACCUCUUAAGGCUUAUAUUUGAAAUUUGCCUCUGCCUCUACUGGCCAACGCAUCUCACGGAGAGGAGGCCAAAAUUAAUGAGAUGCACAAGGAAUGAAAAUGGACAGAUCUGAUGCUGAACCAUCCUCAGGAUAUGCUGCCAUGGUUUCUGCUG